This is a long non-coding RNA of Oreochromis niloticus (Nile tilapia), 2622 nucleotides long. RefSeq lists it as uncharacterized. The transcript has 2 exons. Lineage: Eukaryota; Metazoa; Chordata; Actinopteri; Cichliformes; Cichlidae. The record is from RefSeq and is a predicted model, not a curated record.
CAGAUCUGAGUUUUCAAACUAAUUAUACCAUGUAUAAAAGUAACAUUUUUUGACUUUUUAUUAUUAGCGUUAUAGUCACAUAAUUUCAGAAGCUUGUAUUUAAUCUCCAUAAGAAGCAGUCCUAUUCAGCAGCAUGCAAAUGACACAUUUAUUCAUAAUAAAAGUAUUUUUAUUAGAAGAUUAUGAGUGAGCAAAAUAUAUUGUUCUUCAAAAGAGAAAAAUAAACAAAAAAUCCAUAUUAUUGAGUUGACAGAGUAUUGACAGUAAUGACCAGUGUUGGUCAAGUUACUUGAAAAAAGUAAUCAGUAACUAAUUACUAAUUUCUUCGCCCCCUUUAACAGGUAGCUCAUAUCUUUUAUGCCCACAUUUAACCUGUGUCUAACGAGCUUUUAGUCUCCUAAACAACACAUUUUCUAGAACUCUGGUUCUCUGUGGACUAAUUGUCACAGGUACAAUACAUGCAUAAAUUUCAAAACCACAAAUCUUCUGUUGACAACCUUUGACACAUUUAAAAAGAUCAUUUUCUCCGUCUCCACGCCAGGUGCUUCCUGUUGAACUUCCCACUUUCGCUUAUGUCUGGAACAGCAGACGCACGUCCUAGAACAAACUGUCACUUAUGCAAGUGUGAUACCCACUAAUGUGUGAUCACAUUUAUGUGAAUUAAUUUAAGUAAUUUUACUUUCAAUGUAAGUGAUAUUUCCAUUUUGGAGUGCCCUAAAUAACUACAGUAAUUUUAACAGGAAACUUGGUAACUACUCUGGGAUAUUUGUAGCGGACGCUCCAUUUUUGUACCAGUAGGUGGCAGUGUGAGACCAUGGUUUGGCCUGUUGUUAGCAGCCUGAAGCGCAUGCUCCGCGCUGUUUUCUCAUAAUGGCGGAGUAUUCAGGAACUGCAAGCCACGUCUCCUUGUCUGAUCAUUUCUUUCCUGUUUACAGGUUCGUAUCGUGCCCAAAAUAGAAUAUAACAGCAAUUACAUCCAUUAUAUAGCAUAGAUUAACCAUUAUGGUUGUAAACUGAAAGCGCACAACGUUUUGUAAUACUGUAAAAGUAAUAAAAGGAGUGCAUAAUUGUGAAUUUAAAUAAAUAAUGGCGGAGUAUUCAGGAACGGCAAGCCACGUCUCCUUGUCUGAUCAUUUCUUUCCUGUUUACAGGACACAUAUAUAGCUGUCCACAGGUGCUGCCACCCGGUACCUGUAACACAAGCACAAAAUGCAGUUACAUUAUACAUAUAUAAUCUUCAAUUUUAUUCAUUUGGGUAAGCUACACUUUUAACAACCUUUGACACCCUUUUAAGAAACUCUCUUCUUCUCUUAUCUGAUCAUCUCAAGCACGUCCUGUACUCAGGGCCUGCUUAUCUAUCACACCAUCACUGCUUGCUAAGCAAAAGCAAAGCGAAAUGUUUUUCACCUCUACCCCACAAAUCAAUCUACAUAAUAUUUAUGUCCGUAAGGAUGCAUUAAAAAACUGUUGCAAGUGCAUAAGUUUCCAAGCAAAAUGUGUGUUAACUCUCACCUACAAGUGAACCUUCAUGUUAUCUAUGUCUAUAAGCAUUUUGUAUUGACCUUUGUGUCACCUUUCACAAUACAUCAGAAGAAAAUCAUUAUGACCGCUUAUUCUACUAAAUCAUCAAACAGAAAACAGACAUUUUUAAUCAAUUAACUUUAAGCAUAGAAGCAAUUACUUAUGCCUAAAUUUUAUCAUAACCAAAACAAACUCCCACCAGAUCCUACCAUGAUCAUAAAGCCCCUUAUUUCAAAUUAAACCUUAAAUCCCCCUUUUUGACACACCUCAUGUGUCAAAUAUAACAUGUUCUUGAUACAGCAUAUUCUAAUUUCAUUUUGCUCCUCUUAAUGUAACGGUACAUUCUAAUUAUACUUUAUCAGACUUAACCAAAAUAUAUAUGCUUUCCUUACUUUGCUCCUGUUCUAAAGGAAAAAACCUUGGUCACUUCGACAAGUGUUUGUUAUUCUAUAACUGCAUUUUAUAUGAAAAGUCUAGCAAUCCCCUAUGUGACUCAUAAAUAUUACUUUAAAUGUAAUUAUUUUCCUAUAUAAAAUUUAAUUGACUUGUACCGUGGCCUAUUUUGUUAAUGGUAACAUGAAUUAUAUCGAAAAGUUUCUCCCCUUUUGGCCAUUUCCCCACUAUAUAAUUUACUACCAUAAUCUAAACCCCAUCAAUAACGCACAAUUUACUUAAAGUGAACACCAGCAACCCAAAAUCAGCAGCCAAAAAAUUAAAAUUAAGUCUGCAGCUCCACACUCAUGUGAAACUACACUCUUCCCCUAUGGUCUCUCUCCUCCUCGUGCCCAAAGCAAAACAAAACAAAGCAAAGCAUCCCCUUUCUCUCCCCAACUUAGUCAAUUGUUUGUCCCCCUUUAUUCAUGCCAACUUUGGUCCAGUUGUCAGUCCAGUCACAGUCCAGUCAUUCACUCAAAAGAAAAACACUUGUCUAUCAUUUUAGUGUGGAUUGACACGCCGAGAAAAAAGAGAGCUGAUGAUUAGCUCAUCAAAACACAAAACAUAAUCACCUGACAGGUUUUCUCUAAGUGCACUGUUACAAUUUUAAAGGGCCCAAUUCUAGACAUGUCUAUGUUUACUAAAACUCCCUCUAUUAAAAUAAAA